RNAcentral lists this ribosomal RNA (614 nucleotides) under Actinomycetales bacterium A247. RNAcentral describes it as "bacterial SSU rRNA". It matches the Rfam family "Bacterial small subunit ribosomal RNA", at positions 40 to 671 of the family's 1533-position model. Lineage: Bacteria; Bacillati; Actinomycetota; Actinomycetes; Actinomycetales. The record is from RNAcentral.
CGGCGUGCUUAACACAUGCAAGUCGAACGAUGAAGCCCUUCGGGGUGGAUUAGUGGCGAACGGGUGAGUAACACGUGGGCAAUCUGCCCUGCACUCUGGGACAAGCCCUGGAAACGGGGUCUAAUACCGGAUACGAGCCUCCCGGGCAUCUGGGAGGUUGGAAAGCUCCGGCGGUGCAGGAUGAGCCCGCGGCCUAUCAGCUUGUUGGUGAGGUAACGGCUCACCAAGGCGACGACGGGUAGCCGGCCUGAGAGGGCGACCGGCCACACUGGGACUGAGACACGGCCCAGACUCCUACGGGAGGCAGCAGUGGGGAAUAUUGCACAAUGGGCGAAAGCCUGAUGCAGCGACGCCGCGUGAGGGAUGACGGCCUUCGGGUUGUAAACCUCUUUCAGCAGGGAAGAAGCGAAAGUGACGGUACCUGCAGAAGAAGCGCCGGCUAACUACGUGCCAGCAGCCGCGGUAAUACGUAGGGCGCAAGCGUUGUCCGGAAUUAUUGGGCGUAAAGAGCUCGUAGGCGGCUUGUCGCGUCGAUUGUGAAACCCCGGGGCUUAACUCCGGGUCUGCAGUCGAUACGGGCGAGGCUAGAGUGUGGUAGGGGAGAUCGAAUCCUG